UGUGCUGUUGUGGGUUGCGCGAAUCGAAGCAGCAGAAAUGCGGACAAAUUUUAUUUUCCUUUCCCAGCAAUUAGCAACAAUAAAGGUAAAUAUAUACAGGAUGGGAAAAAAAAGCGGAAGCUUUGGUUAAAAGCCUCGAAACGAGUGGAUUUAACGAAGCCAAAGUAAAGUAUUCCUAUGUUUGUUCGGAUCAUUUUAUUUUAGGUAAACCUGCAGAUUUGUCGGAUGUGGACCAUCCUGAUUAUGUUCCAUCACAAAAUUUAGGAUAUCAAAAUAAAUCCACUCAUAAUACUUGUAAUUUUGAAAGACACAGUUGUUUAAAAAAGAGAAAACUGAAUAAAUGCCUCUAGACUUUUGAA
Long non-coding RNA from Zophobas morio, 359 nucleotides. RefSeq lists it as uncharacterized. The record is from RefSeq and is a predicted model, not a curated record. Lineage: Eukaryota; Metazoa; Arthropoda; Insecta; Coleoptera; Tenebrionidae. The transcript is spliced from 2 exons.